UCUCCGUAGGUGAACCUGCGGAGGGAUCAUUACAGCGUUCAUGCCGUACAGGGUAGAGCUAACACUUUAUGUUAUUAUUGAUUUGUUACUUUCGCGGGACGUUAAGCUACGACUCGCUUACCGCCCCCGCCGAGAAAGCAAGCGCCAGAGAACCCAAACCUCGGCAGAGUACUGUCGGCUUAACACUGUAUAAUAGGUAAAAUUGUCAACAACGGAUCACUUGCUUCUUGCAUCGAUGAAUAACGCAGUAGGGCUGUAGAGCACACAUCUGUACACCAC
This 279-nucleotide unclassified non-coding RNA is filed under the name plant metagenome. RNAcentral describes it as "partial contains small subunit ribosomal RNA, internal transcribed spacer 1, and 5.8S ribosomal RNA". The record is from RNAcentral.